CAUAGUUUCCGUGCCCAACAUUUGAGUAUCCGUCUUAUUUAAAAAAAUUAUAAAAAAAAUUAAAAUGACAAGUCACGCAUAAAAUAUUAAUCAUGUUUUAUUAUCUAACAAUAGUAAAACUACGAAUUAUAAAAAAAUUUCAUAUAAGACGGACAAUUAAAGUUGGAUACGAAAACUCACGAUUUGUUUUUUU
This is a non-coding RNA of Oryza glaberrima (African rice), 193 nucleotides long. Lineage: Eukaryota; Viridiplantae; Streptophyta; Magnoliopsida; Poales; Poaceae. The record is from Rfam.